GACGAACGCUGGCGGCGUGCCUAACACAUGCAAGUCGAACGAGAGCGGCCGGUGCUUGCACGGGUUAAUCGAGUGGCGAACGGGUGAUGAAUACGUGGGUAACCUGCACAGCAGAAGGGGAUAACAUCCGGAGACGGAUGCUAGAAUCGCAUAGGUCUGCGAACGGCAGGGUUUGUAGAGGAAAAGAGGCGCAGGUGUCUGUUGAUGGGUGGAGCGGGGGUGGAUUAGCAAGUUGGUGAGGUAACGGCUCACCAAGGCCGUGAUGCAUAGCCGACCUGAGAGGAUGAUCAGUCACAGUGGGACUGAGACACGGCCCAAACUCCUACGGGAGGCAGCAGUAGGGAAUCUUGCGCAAUGGACGGAAGUCUGAUCGAGCAACGCCGCGUGUGUGAAGAAGGUUUUCGGAUCGUAAAACUCUGUUAUUAGAGAAGAACAAGUGCUAGAGUAACUGUUAGCGCCUUGACGGUAUCUAACCAGAAAGCCACGGCUAACUACGUG
This 498-nucleotide ribosomal RNA is filed under the name uncultured bacterium. RNAcentral's name for it is "partial 16S ribosomal RNA". It matches the Rfam family "Bacterial small subunit ribosomal RNA", at positions 28 to 507 of the family's 1533-position model. The record is from RNAcentral.